This 1456-nucleotide ribosomal RNA is filed under the name uncultured organism. RNAcentral's name for it is "SSU rRNA". It matches the Rfam family "Bacterial small subunit ribosomal RNA". The record is from RNAcentral.
CGCUGGCGGCGUGCCUAAUACAUGCAAGUAGAACGCUGAAGAGAGGAGCUUGCUCUUCUUGGAUGAGUUGCGAACGGGUGAGUAACGCGUAGGUAACCUGCCUUGUAGCGGGGGAUAACUAUUGGAAACGAUAGCUAAUACCGCAUAACAAUGGAUGACACAUGUCAUUUAUUUGAAAGGGGCAAAUGCUCCACUACAAGAUGGACCUGCGUUGUAUUAGCUAGUAGGUGAGGUAACGGCUCACCUAGGCGACGAUACAUAGCCGACCUGAGAGGGUGAUCGGCCACACUGGGACUGAGACACGGCCCAGACUCCUACGGGAGGCAGCAGUAGGGAAUCUUCGGCAAUGGGGGCAACCCUGGCCGAGCAACGCCGCGUGAGUGAAGAAGGUUUUCGGAUCGUAAAGCUCUGUUGUAAGUCAAGAACGAGUGUGAGAGUGGAAAGUUCACACUGUGACGGUAGCUUACCAGAAAGGGACGGCUAACUACGUGCCAGCAGCCGCGGUAAUACGUAGGUCCCGAGCGUUGUCCGGAUUUAUUGGGCGUAAAGCGAGCGCACGCGGUUUGAUAAGUCUGAAGUUAAAGGCUGUGGCUCAACCAUAGUUCGCUUUGGAAACUGUCAAACUUGAGUGCAGAAGGGGAGAGUGGAAUUCCAUGUGUAGCGGUGAAAUGCGUAGAUAUAUGGAGGAACACCGGUGGCGAAAGCGGCUCUCUGGUCUGUAACUGACGCUGAGGCUCGAAAGCGUGGGGAGCGAACAGGAUUAGAUACCCUGGUAGUCCACGCCGUAAACGAUGAGUGCUAGGUGUUGGAUCCUUUCCGGGAUUCAGUGCCGCAGCUAACGCAUUAAGCACUCCGCCUGGGGAGUACGACCGCAAGGUUGAAACUCAAAGGAAUUGACGGGGGCCCGCACAAGCGGUGGAGCAUGUGGUUUAAUUCGAAGCAACGCGAAGAACCUUACCAGGUCUUGACAUCCCGAUGCUAUUUCUAGAGAUAGAAAGUUACUUCGGUACAUCGGUGACAGGUGGUGCAUGGUUGUCGUCAGCUCGUGUCGUGAGAUGUUGGGUUAAGUCCCGCAACGAGCGCAACCCCUAUUGUUAGUUGCCAUCAUUCAGUUGGGCACUCUAGCGAGACUGCCGGUAAUAAACCGGAGGAAGGUGGGGAUGACGUCAAAUCAUCAUGCCCCUUAUGACCUGGGCUACACACGUGCUACAAUGGUUGGUACAACGAGUUGCGAGUCGGUGACGGCAAGCUAAUCUCUUAAAGCCAAUCUCAGUUCGGAUUGUAGGCUGCAACUCGCCUACAUGAAGUCGGAAUCGCUAGUAAUCGCGGAUCAGCACGCCGCGGUGAAUACGUUCCCGGGCCUUGUACACACCGCCCGUCACACCACGAGAGUUUGUAACACCCGAAGUCGGUGAGGUAACCUUAUGGAGCCAGCCGCCUAAGGUGGGAUAGAUGA